GACGAACGCUGGCGGCGUGCCUAAUACAUGCAAGUAGAACGCCGUUGCGCACGGGUGAGUAUAGCGUAGGUAACUGCCCCAUUGCGGGGGGUAACUAUUGGAAACCAUUGCUAAUACCGCAUACUGUGAGCUGGACCUGCGUUGUAUUAGCUAGUUGGUGGGGUAAAGGCUCACCAAGGCGACGAUACAUAGCCGAGCUGGGAGGGUGAUCCGCCACACUUGGACUGGGGAACGGCCCAGACUUCUACGGGGAGGAGGCGGAGGGGAUCUUCGGAAAUGGACGGAAGGCUGAACGAGCAACGCCGCGGGAGUGAAGGAGGUUUUCGGGUCGGAAAGCUCUUUUGUGAGAGAAGCGGUAACUAACCAGAAAGGGACGGCUAACUACGUGCCAGCAGCCGCGGUAAUUC
Molecule: ribosomal RNA, 407 nt
Filed under: uncultured bacterium
Lineage: Bacteria
Description: partial 16S ribosomal RNA
Rfam family: Bacterial small subunit ribosomal RNA
Source: RNAcentral